Vigna angularis (adzuki bean) is the source of this 119-nucleotide ribosomal RNA. NCBI's taxonomy places the organism in Eukaryota, Viridiplantae, Streptophyta, Magnoliopsida, Fabales, Fabaceae. The record is from Rfam.
CGGUGCGAUCAUAUCAGCACUAAUGCACCGGAUCCCAUCGGAACUCUGCAGUUAAGCGUGCUUGGGCGAGAGUAGUACUAGAAUGGGUGACCUCCUGGGAAGUCCUCGUGUUGCACCUC